UACGAAGGGGGCUAGCGUUGCUCGGAAUCACUGGGCGUAAAGCGCACGUAGGCGGCUUUUUAAGCCAGGGGUGAAAUCCUGGAGCUCAACUCCAGAACUGCCUUUGAUACUGGCGAUCUUGAGUCCGGGAGAGGUGAGUGGAACUCCGAGUGUAGAGGUGAAAUUCGUAGAUAUUCGGAAGAACACCAGUGGCGAAGGCGGCUCACUGGCCCGGUACUGACGCUGAUGUGCGAAAGCGUGGGGAGCAAACAGG
This 253-nucleotide ribosomal RNA is filed under the name uncultured bacterium. RNAcentral describes it as "partial 16S ribosomal RNA". It matches the Rfam family "Bacterial small subunit ribosomal RNA", at positions 524 to 776 of the family's 1533-position model. The record is from RNAcentral.